Molecule: long non-coding RNA, 926 nt
Organism: Hippocampus comes (tiger tail seahorse)
Lineage: Eukaryota; Metazoa; Chordata; Actinopteri; Syngnathiformes; Syngnathidae
Exons: 2
Source: RefSeq, a predicted model, not a curated record
GUGUGUGUGUGUGUAACUGCAGCAACAUGUAACUAUUGAUUGGACCAUUACCUCACAACUGAAUCCAACCCAAACCACAAAACAAAGCAUUUUUUUCAGCAAAUAAAAGUGAACAGGCUCCGAAAUAAAUCCAAGAAGUUGGCCUCGGUCAUCAGCAGACAUCUGGACAGGGUUAGCGUAGGUGGGGAUGGCGGUUUGUUAAAAUGUGUCACAAAGCCAGUCCGGGGUGUUCACAGUCAGUGUCAGCUGGGAUAGGCUCCGGCCCACAAUCUUAAAGCGAAUACAGUAUGAUUAUUGUAAGUGACAAGUCGUGAUUAAAGUCCCACGUUUGUGGAAGCUGAGCGCAAAUGCAUAACACUGAACUGUUGAAGGGCAGAAAGCAGUUUCAUAUCUUAAAGAGAGUCAAGAUCCCAUGUCUGUGUCUGGCUGUGUCUAAGACGUAAUUGAUAACACAAGCAGGUGGCUGGGUCGGCAGGAGAGGAUGGCUGGAGAUUUGUACAGAUCGUGACCAUCUGACAGAAGCUGGCAACAGAAGAGUCUUCUUUUAGCACGAUGAUCGCCCAGGUGUUCUGAAGAAGUGCAGCGCUCCUUAAAAUGCUGCCUCCCAGUGUGUUACGUCUGCCUCCGUAGCCUCUGCAUUCUCACAUUUGCACAUAUUGCUCCUCUUCAUUUGGCUGUCGCGGAGCUUGUUCCAAUCCCAGACUGUGUUCCCCUCCCUUGUAGUCUGGGACUUGUUUUUUUUUUUUCCCCCCUUUGCCCUUCCCCAAGUUUUUUGUUUUCAUUUAAGAAAAUCGGUGCACCCUUUUGGUGACCCGCAAGCCUCCUCUAUUCUGUCUUCCUGUAUUGGUCAUUUUUAAAUCUCUUGAGCGGCUUAUUUGGUCUUUUGUAAACGUUAUAGCAAAUAAAAUUGGGCCCUGUUCAGUGUU